AUCUGGCUGGCUCAGUUGGGUAAGUGUGAGACUUUUGAUCUUAGGGUCAUGAGUUCAAAGCCCAUGUUGGGUA
Molecule: transfer RNA, 73 nt
Filed under: Canis lupus familiaris (dog)
Lineage: Eukaryota; Metazoa; Chordata; Mammalia; Carnivora; Canidae
Also listed under: 3 other names
Rfam family: tRNA
About the family: Transfer RNA (tRNA) molecules are approximately 80 nucleotides in length. Their secondary structure includes four short double-helical elements and three loops (D, anti-codon, and T loops).
Source: Rfam by way of RNAcentral